Molecule: RNA transcript, 5372 nt
Organism: Macrobrachium nipponense
Lineage: Eukaryota; Metazoa; Arthropoda; Malacostraca; Decapoda; Palaemonidae
Gene name: aquaporin-7-like
Exons: 7
Source: RefSeq, a predicted model, not a curated record
ACUCGCUACUCUCACAGUUAGCCACCAGCUGCAGCCGAAGACAGAUUGCCGUCUCCCUGGCAACGCUCCCGAGCUCACUCGAGUACCGGAAAGCUUUCUCUGGUCUCGUCUGUCGUAGACAGGCGCCUUUUUCGUAUAACUUCCAGAGGGAAGAAUUAGUUUUCAGAACUGCAGCCGUGACAGGGAAGAACUUUCAUUUUCAUCAUUGUAGAUUUUCAUUGAAUGUCAUAUUGGCAGAUCAUUUCGAAGUGAAACUCCGCUUUUGAUAUCUUCCAUUACUUAUGUCUUUCAUUGACACACAAAACAGAGCUUUGUAUAGCUUCUGGAUCAGACAUUAGAAUCGAGCCUCCUACGAAAAUAGAAGCUGCCAAGUGAGAGUGAACCAGAGGAGAAAAAGAAGAAGAAGAAGAAGCAGUAGUAUAAACUGAAUAGAGAGAAACAACGGCAAUAAGGUCACAAAAUCGACAUGUCGAAUAACAAAGUCGUGGAAACUCUUCAGUCGAAGAUUCGACUGAGGAACGUCGUCGUCAGGGAGUUCCUGGCCGAGUUCCUUGGCACGUUCAUUCUCGUGCUCUUUGGGGACGCAUCGGUGGCACAAAGCGUCCUGACGAACAAAGCCAACGGAGAUUUCUUCGCCAUCAACUGGGGAUGGGGCCUGGCCGUUGUCUUAGGAGUCCUCGUCAGUGGAGGGGUGAGCGGAGGUCACAUCAACCCAGCUGUGACCUUAGCCAUGGCCAUCUGGGGGAAGCACCCGUGGGCGAAAGUUCCCGUUUAUAUGGUGGCACAGUAUCUGGGGGCGUUCUUCGCGUCAUGUAUGGUCUAUGCUGUCUAUCUCAAUGCCCUGGACGCCUUCGAGCCACAGAAAAGUUUGGCAACGGCUGGAAUCUGGGCAACGUACCCAGGAGCGAUGACUAAUGUCAAUGGCACCGUCAUCACAGACUUCCUGUCCAGUGGGAAUGGUUUAGCUGAUCAGGUUGUGGGCACCAUGCUGCUACUGAUCUGCGUCUGCGCCAUCACCGACUCUAGGAACAUGGAGGUGCCCAAGUACUUGAUUCCUCUCUUCGUCGGCUUCACCGUCGUGAACAUCGGCAUCUGCUUCGGCUUCAACUGCGGUUACGCCAUUAACCCCGCCAGGGACCUGGCGCCCAGACUCUUCACCCUCAUUGCCGGAUGGGGAGGCGACACCUUCAAAGCUAGCACCUUCGAGGGAAUUGUGUGGUGGUGGGUGCCCAUCGUUGGCCCACACAUCGGAGCGGUGUUGGGCGUGGCGAUAUACCUGGCGCUGGUCGAACUCCACCACCCGGAGGCCCAGGAGUUCGCCCUUCCUCAGAUCCACCAGUCACAAGAUUCAGUGGCCAGUUCAAGGAUGUGGGUAAGUGACCCCAUGACCUUGGCUUGGCAUCCGCGUAAACCGGAACUGUGAGAACGCCUUCAACAUUCCAUGGGGUCAGGUCAUCCUAGGUCAUCCAAGGGCAGCCUCGUCAAAAUUCUGAAGCCUAUCCAUCGUACUAGCAAGCUUGAGUUGCCGGACGCCACCACAAAGUCUGCUGAGGAUACCAUCGUUGUCGCCAUGGCUACAGCAUACGGAAUUCACGGCUAAUUGUAUAAAUCUUGUGCGAAGUCAGUAAGAUAAUCGAUGUAUUUGAACUUUGUAAGUAACAAAAUGUCUUGUACAGUUAUAUAGUGUAAUUAAGCACAAUGCCACGUCUGUCAUGUUUCAAAUUGUUGCCAAAUUCUUUUGGAUGGGUGUUAAUUGUAAUGAUUAGCAAGUUGUCUGUGUCGAAGCAUUUAACAGUUAUACCAUCCGAUGGUUGUGGUUUGUGUUACUGAAGCUACAAAUUUUAUGAUAGUAUUAAGAUUCCUUUAUAUUAGUACGACAUUAUCCUUUAAGGUUUUAUAUCAAUGGCAUUACUGGCUGCUUUGCUCUUUCAAGAGCACAGGAGUUCAAUUCGAGUUGCCCAUACAAUUGUAUUACAAUUACUCCGAGAUAAUUGCAGAACACUUCUGAAAAAUCUCUUCGUGGAGGUUGCUGAACACUUCAUGAUGGCUGUCUUGAACACUUUCCUCGCUGGAGUGGUUGAACACUGCCUUUGCUUCCAACGACUCAAAACCCGUAGCUUUAAGGGGGCUUCUUCGUGGCCAGUUGGUUUCCGUUUUGAUUUUUAUGAAAUCUACAAAAAAUAUGACAAUUUCGUAUUAUGUAACAAUUUGAUAUAUUGUGACAUGAGUAUAAGGGAGGCGGAGUGAAAAAAAAUUGCCAGUAAAACGGCGAUUUAUAUAUAUUAUUUUGUUUAUUGCUUUUCGUUAGUCCACCCAGGUAUAUUUACUUACCAACAUAACACUUUCUGAGAGGCCUAUUUCUUGAAAGGUUUUAUAUUUUGGCCCUAACAAAUUCACUUAUAUGAAUAUUAUAAUGUUUUUGUUGCAAACAUAUUACACUUCUUUUCCUUUAUUUUUGUUAUAGACACAUUCAAAAUACGACAAAUCGUUACCAAUAACCAACGUCAAUUCAUGUUCAGGACGACUUAGAUUAUGUUUGCAUUUGUGAUGAAAUAUUUUCUUCACACUGUCCAACGUUCCUUGACAGCUAGAUUACCUUCUUGAGUCACUCAUUUCCUGAUGUUUUUAUAGUAAGAAAAUAACACUGGCUUCCGGGAUGUCUGCAGUCGGAGGACUCUUUUGGGGACAUAAAAUUGAUGCAGUUCUUGAGAGAGGCCCCACCAAUUCCUGCAUGGAGUAUGACAGAGGAAGAGAAGGAGGGGGGGGGGGGGCACUUUUUAUGUAUCUAGCGAAGAAAAAUCAUUAGACCUAACCGUGAAGGACGCAACAGUCCUGACUUUGACAUUGGGAAAGUCAGAGACUCAAGAAACACAGAAACAGUGAAAAAGUUCUGGAAACUUGGUAUUAUUGCCAUAUUCUGCAUGGAAAGUCAUGGGAUUCCUCACAUAUAACUCCCCAUAAACUCCUCAUAAAUGGCCUUUACACAAUCAAAAUCAUGCAAAACUACUUUUGCAUAUUUUCCUCCAUUUUAACACAGCAUCUUGUCGUCAUGUAUGUGAGCGCUAUUGUGUCUUUCCAAUUUUUAUAUUCUCUUGGAUCUUCCUACAGCGACUGUAUUUAGCCCCUAGUUAUAUCUGUCAAAAGUACUUCAGUAACAGAGGGUAAGGACAUUUCUUUGAAUAAAAAAAAACAGAAAGGUUUCGUUGUUAGGAACUUUGCUAUAAAGACCUACUUGAGUUUAUCAUUAAUGUUGUUAUAUUUAGUGUCAUUAUCCAACACUGUAGUCAGCCAGUUAAUUACCGUCGUGAAUUGUUUCAUAGUUGAGAUAUUGCUGGAUAAAAGUGGCAUCUUGUUGAAGCUUGUUUGAACGCGCUGAGGGAAACAUGGAAAUGAGUGUUGUGAUGUCAUUGGAUCGAGAUACCUAGCACAAGUAAAUGACAGUUGGCUUCGGAUGAAGGUUUAACAGAAAUCGCGUUGUGCAAAGUUCUGCAGGUAGAGACUGAUGCAUUUAAAAAAAAAAAAAAAAAAAAAAGAGGUUCUCUGAAAAUUGAGCAGUACACACUGAGGUGAAUGAAACGAUAUGAUAUGUCCCAGUUUUCCAAACCUUCCAGAAAAGAUUUAGGAUGUAAAUUCGCUGUACGUAUCUUACAAAGCUGAACGAAUCUUAGUUCCUCAUCAUCACUGUUUAGGAGUUUUAUAUGAUGCUUACGUUACAUGACAUCUAAAGAUAAAAAGUAAGUGUUUUCGCCAUAUUCUUAAAGAAUUGACAAAGCUUUAAAUGAAAUUGUGGCUUAAUGUACCGGUAAGUUGACUUCCCGUUACUCUCAGUUCAUCCAAUAGAUAUGUAGGUCAUGAAGUAGAUACUUAUGUCACGAGAGAUUUCCUGUAUGGAUGAUUCUCCUUAUCCACGAAAUUGGAUUGAUCUUAGUAGAAUUACUGGAGGUUGAUAUACCUUGCCAUUUUGGCAAGAGCUAUCUGGAACAUGUAAUUAAUGCUUCCAAGUAUUUUCGGUUGUAUAUAGUACAGUUAGACGCUGACGACUGGGUGGUCUAUGGUAAUGGACGAAAUCUGUUGAUUGGUCACAACAACAACUGCUGAGCAGUCUCAGCUGUUCAUACUGAGGGCUGUUCAUUAGUCUCAGCAGUAGCGUUUGAUUGGUUCUGAGGCGUCUCAGUUUUACGUCACGAGAGUUUUUUUCUGUAGAUGCUGUUACCAAGUAGACUCCGCAGACUAUUCCAAGAGCCACUGAAUAGUCUCAUCAGUAGUACUGCGAGGUGGUGCUGUGUGGCAUCAGUAGUGAUUUUUGGGAGCUACUAAACAUUCUUAAGUAAUAAGUAUCUUGGCUGUAAAUGCUGAAGGCUGCUUAAGAGCCUCGUGACUGGUUUUUAGGAUGUACUGGAGUCUCAGCAGUAAUUUCUGAGCGAAAUUACUUACCUUUAGUGGGAUUUUCUGAGUUUUCACGAUACAUUCUGGAAGUUGACGCUGCGCUCUGUAGUCGUCAUGGUUUCCGAAACAGUUGCUGCGCUCUGUUAAGUAGGUGUCAUUGGUUGAGAUAGCUUUUUCACAUGGGAGCGUUAAAGUAAAUUCGUUGUGUAGAAGUAAACGUAUUUUGUAUGACUAGUCUGAAAAGAAAUAUUGUUUAAAAUGGUCCCUUUAUGACGUAUUCGAAAAUAAAGUAUAGUUAUUUUUGUACCUGUUUCUACGUCAGCGUUUUGUACUAAAGUAAAAAAUUUGUUCGUACGUCUUGAACUGGACAUGUUUACGAUACUUGAAUGUUAUCAUAUAACGCACUAAGGUAUAUAUUCAUUAUAGAAUGAAAAAUUCUAUUUUACCUUUAAAAAGUAGGAGAGAACAGACUGCAGGUCAUGUAUUCUCUAAAAUAGAAGUAUCACAAACUUUAGUCGGUUUUUUAUUUUAAGUCGUCAUAUAAUGCAGUCAGUAGAAGUUCCCAGUGUACCAUUUCAGUAACUGUUAAGAAUGCACAAGCAGUGCUAUAGAGGUUUUAGGGACACCCCUUUAGUAAGUGGAAGUCAUAGCUGAAGGAGCCAGUGUCUAAGCAACGUACAAAUAUGCAAACAGAAACAGUUAUUGCGAAGUGGAAGAUUCUCAGAUAGCCUGUUUAGAACUGGAAAGCUUUGUCGUACAUGCGCUGACUUUUUCUCAAUUCAAGUAUGAUCAGAAAUAUUUUUAGGCACUGGUCAUAGCGUAUACAACCGUACAUACAUACAUUGGCGUGUAUGUAUAUAUAUAUAUAUAUAUAUAAGCAAAUGAUAGGCCUAUUAUUUUCCUGUGGAAGUCACGUGCAUCUACUGUGAUUUUUAAGCGUAUAUAUAUAUAUAUAUAUAUAUAUAUAAUUAUAUAUAUAUAUAUAU